AGCUUGGUGGCGCAGCGGAAGCGCGCCGGGCUCAUAACCCGGAGGUCGCUCGAUCGAAACGAGUUCAAGCUA
Molecule: transfer RNA, 72 nt
Rfam family: tRNA
About the family: Transfer RNA (tRNA) molecules are approximately 80 nucleotides in length. Their secondary structure includes four short double-helical elements and three loops (D, anti-codon, and T loops).